CCUCGCGGAACCCUGAGCGUCCUCCUGUUGACUAAAUUUCCUCGAUGACGUAAGAGUCCACGUACAUCGUCCAUGUAGGUGAUGCUUCUGAAUGAAUGAGUGUCCCCUCCCAUCUCCAUUACUAGUACUACGGGAUGUCUAUAAGAGCAGAUCACCGGGACAACCCGCUAAAUUUCAUGAGAUGCCGAGGUGCAAGAGAGAGACGCGAGAUUGACAAUAAAUCAAAAGCAAAUCGGGAGCCAAGAAAUUACGCACCAGGGCUUCCGACGACACUAGAUUAUGGUAUAUGAACAUAUUUGCCGGCAUCCCUUUAGAUUUUCUAUUUUUUAUUUUUAUUUUUUAAUUAGGUGGAAAUGGCAGAACUGUACUUUUUACAGUUUGAUUAAGUCCGCAAACUAAAGAAAACCCUCAGCUGGACCAGAAGCUCAAAAGGUUUUCCGUGUAGCUCCGUCCCACUGGGCCGAGCGAGAAAGGACUAAACUUAAUUAUGAAAAUGCAGAUCGGAGAACGAGAGGAAAACGCUGACAAUCGACGACCGGACGAGGUCUGCGGAGGAAGAAGGUGACUUUGUGACAGCCCUGUGCUGGGGUGGCUCUUGGCCGGAUGAUCAGGGACAGGCUGACCUCCCACGCAGAAUUAGUCAUCUCUUUACACCACUUAUUUUUUUUUUCCCCUCUUUCCACUGAAGACUCUUAUUCAACCUUCUAGCAACCUUCCUUCACAUCGCUGUUUGUCCGCCCAUGCUUCUUCUCUCCCACACAGACACAGAGUCAGCAGCCUCUAGACAUAAUCACUUAUUGUUCAAUUUCCACAGGGACGCUGAUCAAGAGGUUAUUAAAUACAUAGAUGCUAGUUAUCGCUUUCAGUUGACGGCUGUUUAAUUAAGCUUAAUAAAACACAGUAAAUACUACGGGCUGUUUUCAUAAAGCUGGUUUCAUCAAAUUCUGUUGUUAACGAACCUGUUUAAAGAGUAGAUUUAUUUUCGGCCUUUUAUUGUAGACCUGACACUUGGUGUUAUGAGUUGUGCCCAGUUUACCCACGAAAAGGCAACACAGGAGUUUGCAGCAACUCCCCCCUAUAGUUCCUCCCUCCAAAACUCCCUCAUCCGACAUGCAUCGUUAUUGAAACAGCUUAUGAAAUCUAGAAGAGUUUAUCACCCACCUACAGAGUGUCUCGACAGAGUUAAAGCAAAUCAAUCGUCUUCUUGUCGUCAUUUUUGCUGCGUUCAAAUGUAAUCCAAUAAGUGGAAAGAAAAAGAAAACAAGAGAGAGAGAGAGAGAAGCAGAGAGUUAAACUGAUUUGAUGUCCUCCACUUCCACACCUCCCCCCGCACAGCCCAGGAAGUCACAGGCCGCCUCAAAGCCACACUGAUGAAGCAAACUUAAAAAAAAAUAAAACCUUCUUUUUGAAAAUAAAAAUAAAAAAAUAAAUAAAAAACGAUGAUAAGAAACACACGAGAAGCAAAUAAGCCUCCGUGAUAAAAGAACAGGCUAAUGCAUUUACUUAGCGAAGAGGGUAAAGGCGCACAGGAAGGUGCUGAACACAUGGGGUCAGUGAAAAUGAAAGAGUGGAUGGGACAGCGAGCGGCUGCUGUGACUCAGCCUUUCCCUGAUCAGAGGAAUAACAAGUAAAUACAUCAAAGGUGACUGACAUGUUUUUUUCCUGCAGGUACCGGGCGAAGCCACAGAAAAAGAAACCCAGGCAGACGGUUCACGGGAACUGAACAUGUGUUAUUUCCAUCAGCCCCUCUGGAUGAUGAGUGGUUGUUGAGUGUGCAUUAACUGAUGACUUUUGAGUCAUAUCACUGCUCUCUGCUGUAGGCAACACAAACAAGUGGUGGGAACCAGCCAACCACGCAGUCUGCACGUACCAGUAUCACUGUGAGUGAUACGCGACCUGAGCACCUGUUGCGUUACCGUAAGCCCUAAAUAACCGGAAUAUGUGGCCUGUGCAGAGUCCGAAUGCCCAUAAAAUUUUUAUUUUUUUUAAAUGCCACAAAUCCUCUGUGGCGCAGGGGAGAAGAGACGGGAUGGCGAGCUCUCCGGAGGAGUCAAAUUUCAAUCCUGCCUGGAAGUAAUUGCACACACCCGCAACAAAAAGUACACUGGGUUCUUGCACGCUGCCAAGCACACUCACUCACUCACGUGCUGCCAUGCCGAGCACAGCCGCUCUACAGUGAGGAGCGUGUGACUUGAAUGCCUCACAAGGCUGCGGAAAAGCUACGCAGACGGCGCCACUUAGUGGUCGCGCCGCUGCCGGCAUGGAGGGGAACGAAUUGGAGGGAGCAGGACGGACGGACGGACUGCAGCGACUCACGCCACCAGACAGCUGAGUGGUGAAACGGGGCUUCACUCGUUUUAAGGUCCAUCUCCCCCUAUUUAAAAAUUAAACCCUGACAUUUAUCUAUUAAGACAUUAAUAACUUACAAGAUCCAGGCAAUAAGAAUACAAUAAAGAACAAAGCAAAUAAAAGCCACAGUAACGGAAUACGUUUGAUGACAGCUUCUUGAAGACAAAAUAAAAAUACUUUUCUUUUAAAACCCUGAAUUCAAACUUCUUUUUUUUUUUGCAUGGCAUGUUUGAUUCCCGCGUAACUACGUUAUUUUCAAAGUAAAGGUGAUGUUUCUCAAAUGGCCACUGAGUUCAUUUUGUGGAAGAGAGCACAAGCUGAUUAUUUUUAAUAUAUACUGUAUCUGUGCAAGAGGAGCUGUUGCCAUGGCAACAAUCAAGCGAACGCAAUGCAAUAAUAAUGUAUGGUUCAGCUCGUAUUCACACGCAAAACUGGGUGUAUUUGACCUAAUAUUGACACGACUUCGUCAUAUUUAAAUGUGUAUUUGUUCAAUCUGUCGCAUCCUCGGUGCUGAGCGUGCAAAUACGUUUCACAUAAAGGACGUGUCUGGCUGGUUGGUUUUCUAAUAUGCUUCCAUCCAGACUCUUUUGCUGAUGUUCAAACCCGCGGUUAAUUUGUAAUUUAAGUAAGACAAGGCUUUAGAAAGGGAAGAAAGGCCACACCAGAAAUUAAAUAAAACCGCAACCGGGGGAAAAGUCCGCCGGCCGAUCGCUAAUUCUUGACCGCUGCGCAUCAGAAACCGACUUGAAAAUAACAGCCACUAGUGAGACACGUCGUGAGAACGAUGGAUAUCUGGCGGGAUGGCUGCAUCACGCUGGCCUGUGUUGCCAAGGAGAUGCAAUGGUGGAAAGUGGAGAGAUGGUCUGACUAGAGGAGCCUGGGUGUAUAACAAAACUGACUAAAGAUCAUACCCACCUGAGACAAUCUGCAGCCACCUGGGGAAGCCUUGCAGCUUUUGUUUGUUUAUUUAUUUAUUUUUUUAAGGAUCGUCUGAGGUCACAGAGAGACGCCGUCAGUUUUACUGUAGCAGGCGAACGGCAAUAGCGUGUUUGUUUAUUUGUUUAUUUAUUUAUUGACUGACUGCUACAUCAAUAAAUAAUGAGGAUGGAGAGAAGUCGUGACUAGCACCGCCCGCAUCUCGGAGUAAAAAAAAAAAUUUAAUAAAUAAAAUUGCUUCAGCAUACCACCGCGUUUAAAAAAUAAUAAUAAUAAAAAAAUAAAACACACAAGAAGAAGAGGGUUUCUGAUUUACUGCUUCAUAAUCUGACAGAGAGAGAAAAAAAACGAGGCUGGGGCAUGACGCACCGAGUUUUCACUAUUCACAUAUUUAGUAGAAAAUGUGGAGGAAGUCUCAUGCUGUACAUGGAAAAAAAAAAAGAAA
Molecule: long non-coding RNA, 3730 nt
Organism: Mugil cephalus (flathead mullet)
Lineage: Eukaryota; Metazoa; Chordata; Actinopteri; Mugiliformes; Mugilidae
Exons: 2
Source: RefSeq, a predicted model, not a curated record